RNAcentral lists this ribosomal RNA (76 nucleotides) under uncultured Stichotrichia. RNAcentral describes it as "partial Eukaryotic large subunit ribosomal RNA". The record is from RNAcentral. Lineage: Eukaryota; Ciliophora; Spirotrichea.
GAAAGAUGAAAAGAACUUUGAAAAAAGGGUUAAAAUACUUGAAAUCGCUGAGGAGGAAGCAGUGGGCUCUGCAGCG